Molecule: ribosomal RNA, 253 nt
Filed under: uncultured bacterium
Lineage: Bacteria
Description: partial 16S ribosomal RNA
Rfam family: Bacterial small subunit ribosomal RNA
Source: RNAcentral
UACGGAGGGCGCAAGCGUUGUUCGGAAUCACUGGGCGUAAAGCGCGUGCAGGCGGCUUGGUAAGUCGAACGUGAAAUCCCCGGGCUCAACCCGGGAACUGCGUCCGAUACUGGCAGGCUUGAAUCCGGGAGAGGGAUGUGGAAUUCCAGGUGUAGCGGUGAAAUGCGUAGAUAUCUGGAGGAACACCGGUGGCGAAGGCGGCAUCCUGGACCGGUAUUGACGCUGAGGCGCGAAAGCCAGGGGAGCAAACGGG